Molecule: ribosomal RNA, 354 nt
Filed under: bacterium LimA-10-J-138
Lineage: Bacteria
Also listed under: 1 other name
Description: bacterial SSU rRNA
Rfam family: Bacterial small subunit ribosomal RNA
Source: RNAcentral
GGCCUGAGAGGGUGGCCGGCCACAGGGGCACUGAGACACGGGUCCCACUCCUACGGGAGGCAGCAGUUAGGAAUCUUCCACAAUGGGCGAAAGCCUGAUGGAGCGACGCCGCGUGAGGGAUGAAGGUCUUCGGAUCGUAAACCUCUGAAUCAGGGACGAAAGACACUUCGUGUGGGAUGACGGUACCUGAGUAAUAGCACCGGCUAACUCCGUGCCAGCAGCCGCGGUAAUACGGAGGGUGCAAGCGUUACCCGGAAUCACUGGGCGUAAAGGGCGUGUAGGCGGACACUUAAGUCUGGUUUUAAAGACUGCGGCUCAACCGCAGGGAUGGACUGGAUACUGGGUGUCUUGACC